UGGGGAAUUUUGGACAAUGGGCGCAAGCCUGAUCCAGCAAUGCCGCGUGCAGGAUGAAGGCCUUCGGGUUGUAAACUGCUUUUGUACGGAGCGAAAAGGUCUGCCCUAAUACGGUGGGCUCAUGACGGUACCGUAAGAAUAAGCACCGGCUAACUACGUGCCAGCAGCCGCGGUAAUACGUAGGGUGCGAGCGUUAAUCGGAAUUACUGGGCGUAAAGCGUGCGCAGGCGGUUAUAUAAGACAGAUGUGAAAUCCCCGGGCUCAACCUGGGACUUGCAUUUGUGACUGUAUAGCUAGAGUACGGUAGAGGGGGAUGGAAUUCCACGUGUAGCAGUGAGAUGCGUAGAUAUGCGGAGGAACACCGAUGGCGAAGGCAAUCCCCUGGACCUGUACUGACGCUCAUGCACGAAAGCGUGGGGAGCAAACA
Molecule: ribosomal RNA, 427 nt
Filed under: uncultured bacterium
Lineage: Bacteria
Description: bacterial SSU rRNA
Rfam family: Bacterial small subunit ribosomal RNA
Source: RNAcentral